RNAcentral lists this ribosomal RNA (714 nucleotides) under Pseudomonas aeruginosa. RNAcentral's name for it is "bacterial SSU rRNA". It matches the Rfam family "Bacterial small subunit ribosomal RNA", at positions 63 to 773 of the family's 1533-position model. The record is from RNAcentral. Lineage: Bacteria; Pseudomonadati; Pseudomonadota; Gammaproteobacteria; Pseudomonadales; Pseudomonadaceae.
CGAGCGGAUGAAGGGAGCUUGCUCCUGGAUUCAGCGGCGGACGGGUGAGUAAUGCCUAGGAAUCUGCCUGGUAGUGGGGGAUAACGUCCGGAAACGGGCGCUAAUACCGCAUACGUCCUGAGGGAGAAAGUGGGGGAUCUUCGGACCUCACGCUAUCAGAUGAGCCUAGGUCGGAUUAGCUAGUUGGUGGGGUAAAGGCCUACCAAGGCGACGAUCCGUAACUGGUCUGAGAGGAUGAUCAGUCACACUGGAACUGAGACACGGUCCAGACUCCUACGGGAGGCAGCAGUGGGGAAUAUUGGACAAUGGGCGAAAGCCUGAUCCAGCCAUGCCGCGUGUGUGAAGAAGGUCUUCGGAUUGUAAAGCACUUUAAGUUGGGAGGAAGGGCAGUAAGUUAAUACCUUGCUGUUUUGACGUUACCAACAGAAUAAGCACCGGCUAACUUCGUGCCAGCAGCCGCGGUAAUACGAAGGGUGCAAGCGUUAAUCGGAAUUACUGGGCGUAAAGCGCGCGUAGGUGGUUCAGCAAGUUGGAUGUGAAAUCCCCGGGCUCAACCUGGGAACUGCAUCCAAAACUACUGAGCUAGAGUACGGUAGAGGGUGGUGGAAUUUCCUGUGUAGCGGUGAAAUGCGUAGAUAUAGGAAGGAACACCAGUGGCGAAGGCGACCACCUGGACUGAUCUGACACUGAGGUGCGAAAGCGUGGGGAGCAACA